Aedes albopictus (Asian tiger mosquito) is the source of this 664-nucleotide long non-coding RNA. RefSeq lists it as uncharacterized. Lineage: Eukaryota; Metazoa; Arthropoda; Insecta; Diptera; Culicidae. The record is from RefSeq and is a predicted model, not a curated record. The transcript is spliced from 2 exons.
CUGAGCCAGAGUUAUACGAGGCUAUUUUAAGUAACACUAUGUUGUUCGCCGCGUCGAAGAAAACUGUUUUCCCCUUUGAAUCACUAACGGCAAAAUAAUUUUCCUGCAAUACUGAAAUUUAGUCAUGCGACGAUUUCCGCUAAAUUUUAUCGAGAAAUGACUCCAUUACUAACCAUACCACCGGCCCACGCACGCAAUCAUCUGAAAGACCAUUGUCAGCGUUUUCCCGCAGGAUUCCCCGUUGUGCAACCGAUUUCGGAAACAUCCAGACGGAGAUUCGUAGAAAAGAAAUCCGCAGAUUGUGCUAAUGUCCGAGGUAGGUCGUGAGUACUACUUUGUAUUCGUUGGAAGUGCUCUAAAAAGUGUCAUAAAUAUAUCGUUCCGAACAGGUACCUUUCUUUCUGCCACAGGAAGUGCAACUUCUGACCGCCACGAUCGGAUUUAUGGCCCAUGCCUGGCGGACGGUAUGGGUAUCCGGUAGCUGUUACCCAGCAGCCGUUCCGACGUCGACAUUAUGCUGCACAAGGCUGUCGCCGCAGAAGAGAAGGUCCUGGAUGUCACCGUUAUCGCGAUGCUGUUUUCCGGGGAUUCACUUGACAUAUUUUAUAAUUAGAUUUUAAGAUUUUAUUAUUUAUUCAAUUGAAUAAAGUUGCAGUUGCGAGAA